Molecule: transfer RNA, 63 nt
Filed under: Heterocephalus glaber (naked mole-rat)
Lineage: Eukaryota; Metazoa; Chordata; Mammalia; Rodentia; Bathyergidae
Rfam family: tRNA
About the family: Transfer RNA (tRNA) molecules are approximately 80 nucleotides in length. Their secondary structure includes four short double-helical elements and three loops (D, anti-codon, and T loops). Further hydrogen bonds mediate the characteristic L-shaped molecular structure. tRNAs have two regions of fundamental functional importance: the anti-codon, which is responsible for specific mRNA codon recognition, and the 3' end, to which the tRNAs corresponding amino acid is attached (by aminoacyl-tRNA synthetases). tRNAs cope with the degeneracy of the genetic code in two manners: having more than one tRNA (with a specific anti-codon) for a particular amino acid; and 'wobble' base-pairing, i.e. permitting non-standard base-pairing at the 3rd anti-codon position.
Source: Rfam by way of RNAcentral
AUGUAGCUCAGUGGUACAGCACCUGCCUAGCAAGCAUGAGGCCCUGAGUUUGAUUCCCAGUAU